GUCCACGCCCUAAAACGAUGCGAACUGGAUGUUGGGUGCAACUUGGCACCCAGUAUCGAAGCUAACGCGUUAAGUUCGCCGCCUGGGGAGUACGGUCGCAAGACUGAAACUCAAAGGAAUUGACGGGGGCCCGCACAAGCGGUGGAGUAUGUGGUUUAAUUCGAUGCAACGCGAAGAACCUUACCUGGUCUUGACAUCCACGGAACUUUCCAGAGAUGGAUUGGUGCCUUCGGGAACCGUGAGACAGGUGCUGCAUGGCUGUCGU
RNAcentral lists this ribosomal RNA (265 nucleotides) under uncultured bacterium. RNAcentral's name for it is "partial 16S ribosomal RNA". It matches the Rfam family "Bacterial small subunit ribosomal RNA", at positions 793 to 1055 of the family's 1533-position model. The record is from RNAcentral.